UAGGGAAUCUUCGGCAAUGGACGAAAGUCUGACCGAGCAACGCCGCGUGAGUGAAGAAGGUUUUCGGAUCGUAAAACUCUGUUGUUAGAGAAGAACAAGGACGUUAGUAACUGAACGUCCCCUGACGGUAUCUAACCAGAAAGCCACGGCUAACUACGUGCCAGCAGCCGCGGUAAUACGUAGGUGGCAAGCGUUGUCCGGAUUUAUUGGGCGUAAAGCGAGCGCAGGCGGUUUCUUAAGUCUGAUGUGAAAGCCCCCGGCUCAACCGGGAGGGGUCAUUGGAAACUGGGAGACUUGAGUGCAGAAGAGGAGAGUGGAAUUCCAUGUGUAGCGGUGAAAUGCGUAGAUAUAUGGAGGAACACCAGUGGCGAAGGCGGCUCUCUGGUCUGUAACUGACGCUGAGGCUCGAAAGCGUGGGGAGCAAACAGG
This 429-nucleotide ribosomal RNA is filed under the name Chloroflexota bacterium. RNAcentral's name for it is "Chloroflexi bacterium partial 16S ribosomal RNA". It matches the Rfam family "Bacterial small subunit ribosomal RNA", at positions 355 to 776 of the family's 1533-position model. Lineage: Bacteria; Bacillati; Chloroflexota. The record is from RNAcentral.